GAAUGGUCCCGAGGGUCCAUUGUCUCCUUCAGCAGUACUGCCUCCCUGCACCCCCUUCUUGCUCUUCAGCCCUUCUAGAGAAAGCCAGGCUCAUAUCUUCUUUAUCCUCAGUGAGAACUCUUUGGCGCUUGCCUGAAGCUCCUGACUCAUAGGAAGUUUCUUGUUGUCACUGAGGAUCCAGUGAAGUAGACUCCCUCGGUGAGGCUGGCUUGACAAGCAGUGUGUUUUCAGUAGUCAGCUGAUUGAUGGUUUAGUUCAAUCCUUU
Molecule: long non-coding RNA, 265 nt
Filed under: Bos taurus (domestic cattle)
Lineage: Eukaryota; Metazoa; Chordata; Mammalia; Artiodactyla; Bovidae
Description: long non-coding RNA NONBTAT015913
Source: RNAcentral